CCGCAAGGCUAAAACCCAAAGGAAUUGACGGGGGCUUACACAAGCGGUGGAGCAUGUGGUUUAAUUCGAAACAACGCGCAAAACCUUACCAAUCCUUGACAUAUGAAAAACCAGGGUGUUUACCCGCUCUGUCUCUUUUAUACAGGUGCUGCAUGGCUGUCGUCAGUUCGUGGUGUGAGCUGUUGGGUUAAGUCCCAGAACGAACGCAACCCUCCUUUGAAAUGAAGGUUUACCUUUUUCAAAGACUGCCAAGGAUAUCUUGGAGGAAGGUGAGGAUGACGUCAAGUCCGCAUGGCCCUUAUGGGUUGGGCUACACACGUGCUACAAUGGGAAUGACGAAAGGAGGCAACAUGGCAACAUUGAGCAAAUCCCAAAAAGUUUCCUUAGUUCGGAUUGUUCUCUGCAACUCGAGAACAUGAAGUUGGAAUCGCUAGUAAUCGUAGAUCAGCACGCUACGGUGAAUUUGUAUCUAAGCCUUGUACACACCGCCCGUCACACUCUGAAAAUUUUCAUGCCUUGAAGCAAAAGAAGUUCACCAAGAACACACAGCGCAAUUAAAAAAAAACAUCUUCCCUUUUUUUUCUGUGUCUUUGUUGGAACCUUUUCUAGAGUUAGGGAGGUGAUUGGAGUG
Molecule: ribosomal RNA, 631 nt
Filed under: uncultured picoeukaryote
Lineage: Eukaryota
Description: partial 16S ribosomal RNA
Rfam family: Bacterial small subunit ribosomal RNA
Source: RNAcentral